CACCUCGCCCAUGUCAUUCCGCUCGCGACUCUCCGACGAUACACACACAAACAGUCCCCAUCUCUCUCACACACUCUCUGCCGCUAACUACUUACAUGUGUUCUUGGUAUAUACUCUCUACCGUUCACCCCCAGGGCACUGUUGGUCAUCAGCGUACCCUCAACCCUAUUCGCAGAUUCCCUGAUAUAUAGUUAGUGUAUAAAUACGACUUUUAUACGUCCCUACCGAAAAAAAUAAUAUCACGCUAUAUGCACUGCGAUCCUGCCACUGCGACUGUACUAUCCGACCCUAACCAGUACACACACCUCUACCUGAUCCACACCAAUCCACACACCAAUCCACACACCACAAGUUGGAUCCUAAACCCCCCCCCCCAAAACGCCUUCCAUAAAACGUAACAUAUCGACCCAGUGCCUCAGUCUGUGCUGGUGUAGAAGAGGAAGACGUGAUUAUAAGAGGUGCCAGCCAUCAACAGGUUAAUUAGUCUACAGGUAAAUUAAAUAGAUACCCCCGGCACCCGGAAUCAGCCGCCAACAGGUACCCGGAUUGCCAACAAAUAUCCGGACUCUGCCAACAGUACCCGGACUCAGCCAACAGUACCCAGGCUCAGCCAACAAGUACCCGGACUCUGCCAACAGUACCCGGACUCUGCCAACAGUACCCGGACUCAGCCAACAGUACCCGGACUCCGCCAACAGGUACCCGGACUCAGCUAACAAGUACCCGUACUCUGCCAACAGUACCCGGACUCACCCAACAGUACCUGGGACAACAUCAUUACCGUCAUGUUUCAUCACCUAGUGUCUCGCGUGAAGAGUGCCGCCAGGUUGGAUUUCAUGGUUGUGGAAGAUAUUAUCAACAGUAGCCCAACUCUCAAAGUGACCAGACAUCGAGUUCUAAGGAGUUGGAAAGAUGUCGCCCCUCGCGUCAGAUACCUAAGGAAGAAGAUGGAGAUGAAAUCAUUCCCAGAAGAUGAGCAAUACAAACGUUUUAAAUGAGGACCUCCUGACGAUUCUCCUCUCCUCGUUGCUUCCCUCAUCGUUAUCGCCAUCAUCAUCAUUAUCGUGUCUCUGUGUGUCUUAUCAUCAUCAAACAUCAUUCAUUCAUUUACACGAUACCUGUCAUUACUAUAAAUUACAUUUUUCACUUCCUGCUUCUCGUUGCUCCAUAACAGCUCACCUCAUCCUCACAACUCAUUCUCACUCCUCAACUUACUGUAAACAAACCCUCACUUCGUCUUAACACUCAUCAGCCAGCUAGUGUAGUUAGUGUUCAUGUUCACAACGUCGUAAGUGAACGUGAGGUGAAAUAUGCGACCCCGAACGACCUCGCUGACCAGAAUAGAUAGGUUCCCACCCAGUUGUCCUAAUGCAAGGCUUUAUACACACCAACAAUGGCUUCUUAUCGUCUAUAGUUUUUUGAAUCACUUAUAGUUUUCACAUUUCUUUUUACACGAGAAAGAAUCAUGUGAUCUUGGUAUAUAUAUAUAUUUUGUGACUCAUAUUGUGGUUCCUUGAUUCCUCUGUAUCUUUUAGCUCAAUAUUAAUAUGUUUAGGGUUUAUAUUAUGAAAGAUAAAGAGUAAUAAUUGUAGUGUUUCAGAUGAGGACUACACCUGGACUAAUGAGCCAGAUCUGGUGGUGUUUAGCAAGAGCCAGCGUUUUAACUGGUCCUGUUUUAGAUGUUAUUUUCGUCAGCGUUUUAGCUGUAUAGAAAAAUAUGGAAUCACACGAAGAUUAGACAUCCCCAGCUUAUAUCACAUGAAGAUUAACCACCCUAACGCUUCUUGGAUUGGGGUUAAUUAGCAUUAUUCAUCCUCAGGUGAAAUAAACUGAGGUGUCUAAUCUUCAUGUGAGACGGAAAAUGAUGGACAAACACUCCAACACUCCCCAGUACAUAUAGCCUGAGGUCUGUCUAGUCUCAGAGUACUGGUGGUACAGUGGGCAGUAAGUACACAGCAGUUGUCAAUGAGUGUCUGUGAUGGAAUGGUCAGUUUUGUAUCAAGCCUCAAGGCUCCCAUUACACACUUCAAGGGUAAUGGUACAAUGUUUAUUAGACCUACAGCGACUCUUUAAGGUUCAUUUGACUGUAUCUGAUGUUAAAACUAUACCCACCUGGUUGAGUUUAGCUAAAUUAAAAAAAAAAGUUAAAUAACUACAGUGAGACUACAUUAACUGGUUAAGGUUUAUUUGAGGAAUUUGUUAUGGUAUUUAAAGUAAUCCCAAGGAAACGUAUCUAGUUCAGAUAGAAUCUUAUUGUAUUUUGACAACUACCGAGACACCAGAAGUCGCAGUGUUCAUUUUGAAAUUCAUCGGACCCAUUCGUGAAGAUACUCGCUUAAUUGUGUGUACAUCCUCACCGACUAUGCUGUUGUACUGUACUAUGUUGUAAAAUAAACGGUUUUCGGAAUCAUUAGUUAAUUCCAUUUGUGUAUAUGUAUGUAACAAUAUGUAUUUACCAUCCUAUUGUAAAUGACUUGGAAUUACUGUGAAUUAUUUUUUAAUUUAA
Long non-coding RNA from Homarus americanus (American lobster), 2506 nucleotides. RefSeq lists it as uncharacterized. NCBI's taxonomy places the organism in Eukaryota, Metazoa, Arthropoda, Malacostraca, Decapoda, Nephropidae. The transcript has 3 exons. The record is from RefSeq and is a predicted model, not a curated record.